RNAcentral lists this long non-coding RNA (12738 nucleotides) under Phaseolus vulgaris (common bean). RNAcentral's name for it is "long non-coding RNA (PVUL_LNC004313)". Lineage: Eukaryota; Viridiplantae; Streptophyta; Magnoliopsida; Fabales; Fabaceae. The record is from RNAcentral.
UAAAUCACCCUGCAAAAAUCACCCACAGGGAUUUCCAUCAAAAUUUGAAACACUAACCAAAUUUGACUUACAUAAAAAGAAAGGCACAUACAUAAAGCAGAGUGACUCCUGAGGCCUUGAAUGUCUCAAUAAGUUUAGACUUUUCAGGAUGAGAAACAGUGUUCUCUCUGAUCAACACAAACGUGGGAUGUCCUGCUUCUGUGCUGGCCUUAACUAUGAAUUUUCCUAUGUAUCCUGUUCCUCCAAGAACCAGGAUUUUGCUCUUCGCUGCCAUUCAACAAAAACAACUCAAAUUUCAGGUUCAGAUCAAAAUAAGCACUGAGUUUGAGGAUGUGAUGAGUUUAGGGAUGAAUUGGCCUCCUAUUUGUAGAACAGUUUCUGGGAUUCAUUGACGUCAAUAGAGAAAAGUCUAAUAAUCAACUAAGAAAAAUGUACUAAUACUUGAAGGGAUUCAUUGAAGUUUGUUGUUUAUAAUUAUUUUUUGAAGUUUCUUAUUAUGCAUUCACACAUUUUUUUAGAAGGAAAAUGAUGGUUUGAAUAUAUUUUUAGAAAUGACACUCUCACAAUUAUGAAAGUUGAAUAUAUUUUGAUGUGAUUGAUUUAGAUAUAAAUAUAUAUAAUAAAAAAUAAAUUUAUAAUUAAAUUAUAUAAAAAAUAUUAAAAUAAUAAUAUUGAGAGUUAUAACGUGGUUGGAUAAAAAAUAGGAUUGUCAAUGUAUUAUUAUGAUUUUUUUUAUAAUAAUUUUUUUUAUUAUGAGAGCUUACAAAUAAUAGUGGAAACAGUGCAAAAAUGCUGCAGUGGUGAACUAUGGUUGUAUAUAAAUUUUGGUUGUUCAUGUAUCAUUGUUAAGAAAUUUUGGAUUUGCUAAUAUAAUAAUGCGAAUUGUUAAAUUUACAGAACAAAUUACACAGUUAUUUUUUUGAGUUUUUUUUAAAGCCAAAAUAAUAUUAUUAAUAAAAUUCACCAAAUCACAAGUAUCAAGAUUAGUGUAAGAUUUACAAAAAGAAACAAUGCAAAAAUUAUUUUAUCAAGUUUUUGAGUGAAUUUUUAUAUAAAAUAAUAACACAUAGGAACAUUACAAGAAAAUUAUGAAAUAAAAAUCAAUUUUUAAUGUCAAAAUAAUUAAUUGUAAUAUAACUAAAUUAGAGAUCAUUCUAAAAAUUAAAAAAAAAAUUGAUUUCUAUAUUAACUUUUAUUAUUAUUAAAUAAUUUUUAAAUUGAUAUCUAAUUAGUAAUAAGAUUUAAGAACGAAUUAUUGGGAGAUCGUUAUUAUAUGUACUCAAUUAUUUCUGCAUAUAAAAUUUUAAUAAAUAGUUAGAUCUUUGACUAUGAUUAAUUUUAUAAAGUGGUGGAUAAAGAAAGUACCACCAAAAGUGUUAUUUUUUUUGGGUGGUCAACUGCACAUAAUAUAAUAUUAUUUUGUAUGGAGGAAUAUUCCAUAUUGUGUUGUAAGGUAUGAUAACAGUCGUAUUUUAUUUCGUAUAAAAAAUUUAAUUAGUCAAUGUUUAUAAUGAAUAUUAAACAAUCAUACUUUAUUGAGCAAACUCUACAAAUAAUAAUAGUAUUAAUACAAUUAAAUAAGUAAUAAUAUAACUUUUAAAAUAGCAACAUUUAUACUCUGUUACUAUUAAGCCCGCGAAAUUUGACUCAAUGGAGGUUGAAUUAGCUUGCACAAACUUCUAGACUCUAAAUUUUAUUAUUUAUGUUUUUAUAGGGAAAAAAAACCAUAAAGUCUUAAAAAAUAAAUAAAGUAAUCAGAAUUUCACCUUAUGUCAAUUCUAAAGUAAUCCUAAACAAAUAAAUAUCAGUCUUAGAAUAUAAAAUAUAUAAGACCCUUCAAACCAAGCUAAUUAGUAAGAUAUAACAAGAGAGAUAAAUGAUGUGUUUUACACAUAAAAAAAUAUAGAGAAAAAAAGUGUGUAACGAAAUAAAGAAAGAGAUUAUUAUUUUUAAUUAAAAAGAUAAAAUUAGUUUAUAAAAUUAAAACAGUAAAUAUAAUAUCAUUAUUAAGAUCGCAUGCACAUUAGGUAAAUCUAUUAUAUAUCUAAUAAAUUAUCUAUCCGAAUAAUUUGUAUUUUUUUAUCAAUAAAGAAUUAAUUAAUUAAAAAGAUAACACUUAAAAAUUUCCAAUCUUUAUAAAAAAAAAAUUGCAUCCUCUUUAUUUUUAAUCUAUUUGCUGAGAGAGUCUUGAAUUAUUUUCGACAAGAAAGUUUAACUUUAUCUAAAAUAAGAACAAAAAAAUCCAAGGGAAAAGAAAACAAGAAAAAAAAAUGGUACAACUGAACUAUCCCUUCUUAAUUUUUUUUUUAAAAAAGAGAUAUUUGUGAAAGUGAUCUUACGAAAUAAGUGAGAGAAAACGGAGGCGCGCUUAGGGUUUGUGGCGGCGCGCUUAGGGUUUGCGGAGGCGCGACAGCGUUCCAUCGGACCAGUGAGGAGCGGCGAUCAGGGGCGGCGGACGUGCGUUCACGUUUUCCACCAGCACGGCGGCUCUGAUCGCGUUUUGUGCGAACCUCUUCACCGGGUGCAGCGGACGACGACGACCAGGGGCUGCGGGGGUGGCGCGCGACUGGGUCUGUGCGCAGUGGUGCGGGGCGGCUGUGCGUGGCGGUGGUGCGGUGGGCUUUUGAAAUGGCAGAGGGUUCUAAUGGUUUCAUCAUCCCAUGGAAGUGUUUGAAGGAUAGGGAAGAAUCUCCGGCGAAGACUGUAUAUGCUAAGUCUGGACAAAAGAAAACUUUUGCUCAAGCUUUGGGAACUACAUGUGAUAUUCCUUUGUCCGAGUUACCCACUCCUUAUAUUAAGGGAGACAUGAUUGUGGUCCGGAUCGAUGAAACAGAAUACUUGACUGGCCUUGAGGAUUGCAAGACUCAUUUACAUGGUCGGGUUAUUCUUUCUAAAGGAGAUAAACCUCUCACACACCUAGACUUAACUAAAAAGUUGCAACCGGUGUGGAAGGCUCUUGGACCGUGGAAAGCAAUUCCUCUUAGGAAGGGUUUUUAUGAGUUUGAGUUCGCUUCUUUAGAAGACAUGCGGUGGGUUCUCGGGAUGGGUUCCUUGAAGUUAUCUCCGGGUUUCUUGAGACUUUUUGCCUGGACAAAAGAUUUUGUUCCAACUACCAUGAAGAGUACAAAAACUCAGGCCUGGGUUAGAAUCUAUAGUUUGCCUUUGGAGUAUUGGAGGACACAUGUGAUUUUUUCAAUCAUAAAAUGUCUUGGUACUCCUUUGGUUUUGGAUGAGAAUACUAUGAGAAAGAAAAGGGGUAUGUUUGCUAGAGUACUGGUGGAUAUUGAUAUGUUGUCCCCUCUUCCUGAUCAUCUCUGGGUUGAACGCUCAGACUUUACCUUUGUAGCUGGUGUGGAAUAUGAAUGGCUCCCUCCUUUUUGUUCUCACGGUAAGGUGAUAGGCCAUGAGCUUGCUCAGUGCCGAGUGAUUCAUGAUCAGGGUCGUGCUCCUGGGUCUCAACAUAAAUCUUCUCAUAAGAUAAUUGAACGAGAUCAGGGGAGGACUGAGGUCCCAAAACAACAUAAAGAGUAUCGUAAAGAAGAUCCGCAGCCGAAGCACGUGGAAGGUUACACUGAUAAAUUGAACAUUAAUGCUUCUGCCGGAGCUAAAGCAGGGUCACUCUUGGGUUAUACUGCUCUUGAUAAACCAGGUGGAGUAGAGGACGAUUUUGCUGAUAUGCCUUCUCUUGAAGAUGCCUCAGAUCAUGAAUCCAGGCAGGGAUUGCCCACUCACACUUCGAAUUUCCCAGAAACGGGGACGCUAAGGAAUUCACCUCCCCUUAUGCAAGCCAAGGGCUCCAAUCAUGUGGAGGUCUUGACUCCUGUGGUGGUAUCACCUCAAUUACGUCCCAUCUCUCCUUAGCGGGUUAAAUCACUUGUUCAUACUACAACCCUAUCCAAUACUCCAAUUGAUGGCCAUCAUGAGGAGGUCUCUGCUAUUGUGACUGUACCAUCCCCGUCGUUGGUGCUAAAAAAUCACUUCUCCUCUCUUGAUGGUUUAGACACUACUGAUGUGGGAGGUGAUCCUUAUAUUGGUACGUCUAGUGCCAUUGUUGAACCUCAUAAGGCUAAAUCUUCUGCGAAUGUUAAAGCACUAUCGUUGGUCCUACAAAAUUACUUUUCCUCUCUUGAUGGUUUGGAAAAUACAAAUGUUCUUUCAAAAUUUUGGGCUGAUCCCAACGAGAUGGAGGAGGAUGACAGUGUGUGCCUUGGCGGUCUCAGGCACUAAAAGAAACCCAGGGAGACCACCUAAGAAGAGUGGUAAAUCCAAAAAAACUACUAAGGCAGUUCUCUCCACACCGUCGCAAUGAAAGUCUCUUCAUUUUUCUGGAAUGUUAGAGGAUUGGGAAAGCACAAAACUGUGGAGAUGUUGAUUAGUUUACUCAAACUACACAAACCUCUUCUGGUUUUUCUUGUUGAACCUAUGGUGCCGUACACUGAUGCUUUUGAAGUCAUUUUCAAAUCUGUUAAUAUGCAUUUGGUGGCUACGUCUCCUAUUGUUAAUAAAACUGCUAAGCUUUGGUGUUUGUCGGUUCCUAAUUUGGUUCGAAAUUUCUUGGUAAAUGAACAAUUUAUUUCUGUAACUUGUCAUUUGCAUGAUAAAUGUUUUAGUUUUGCAGGAGUUUAUGGUGCUACCACAUACGUGGCUAGACGGGUUUUGUGGAGGGAUCUUAGUUCCUUCAAAGGGUCUUGGUGUAUUAUGGGUGAUUUUAAUGUUGUGCUCUCAGCCGAUGUCUGUAAAGGAGGGGUGGCUCCUAAUCAAGUUUCUUGCAAUGAAUUCCUUGAUUGGAUUAAUACUAAUGAUCUUUCUUGUAUGCCUUUUACCGGUACUUGCUAUACUUGGUGUAAUGGAAGGAGAGGGCUCCAUAGAAUUCAUAGAAAAUUGGAUAGGGCGUUAUGUAACGAAGUGUGUUUGGAUGAAUGGGAUUCUUGUACUUAUCAGGUUCUUGUUAAAAAUUGUUCUGAUCAUUCCCCUAUUCUUACUAGUCUUGCUAGUAAUUCUUUGAAGAAGGUUAGCAAUUUUCGUUUCUUUUCUAUGUGGCUUCAAGACGCUUCAUGUAUGAAGCUUAUUCAUGAUUCUUGGGCUAAUAAGGUUGUUGGUUGUCCUAUGUUUAUUUUACAUCAUAAGUUAAAAAGGUUGAAAGUUGAGCUACGUGACUGGAAUAAAAAUUCUUUUGGUAAUGUUCACAAUGCAAUUCUUCUUAAACAGGGUCUUCUGCUUGGUAUUCAACAAAACUUAGAGACUGCUAGUAUGUCUGAUAUUGAUGGACUUCUCUGUCAAGAAAGGAUCGCUAAGGAGGAGCUUAAUCAGGCUCUUCACUGUCAAUAUUUGUUUUGGAAAGAAAGGGCUAAAAUGCUUUGGUUUAAAGAUGGGGAUAGAAAUACUGCUUUUUUCCAUGCUGUGGUUAAGAGGAGGAAUAAUUUUAGUGGGAUUCAUCGUCUACGAAUUGAUAAUGUUGUUACUGAGGAUCCUACACUCAUUGAGGAACAUAUUUUGGACUUUUAUAAAACUCUUUAUGCCGAGUCUAUUUCUCAUGAUCAGGAUGCAAACAAUAUGGAAGAUUUUAUUAGUACUUAUAUUCCUCAGCUGGUUUCCUCUGAGGAGAAUAUGAUGUUGCUUAAAUGUCCUGAUUUUUUGGAGAUCAAGAAUGCUGUUUUUAACCUUAAUGGUAAUAGUGCAUCAGGUCCUGAUGGCUUUGGUGGUGUUUUUUAUCAUUCUUGUUGGGAUAUUAUUGGGACAGAUGUUUGUAAUGCAGUCCAACAGUUUUUUAAACAAAACUGGGUUCUCCCUGGAAUGAAUAGCAAUGUGGUAUCUCUUAUUCCUAAGAUUCAGGGUGCUGAAUCUAUUAAAGAUUAUAGGCCGAUUGCUGUUGCUAAUUUUAAAUUUAAGAUUAUUUCCAAGAUUUUGGCAGAUCGGCUUGCUCUUGUGGCUGCCAGAAUUAUUUCUCCUAAUCAGUAUGGGUUUGUGCAGGGCAGACAGAUUCAAGAUUGUAUUAGUAUUGCUUCUGAAGCUAUUAACUUGCUUUCUAAAAAGGUUCACGGAGGCAAUGUGGCUUACAAAGUUGAUAUUCACAAAGCUUUUGACACUCUAAGUUGGAAGUUUUUACUAUCAGUUUUGUCACGCUUUGGUUUUCAGCCCUCGUUUGUCGGUUGGAUUAGUACUAUUCUCCGUUCAGCUAUGCUUUCUAUCAGAAUAAAUGGUAGUUUGGUGGGUUUUUUUCCUUGUAGUAGAGGUGUUAGACAAGGUGAUCCUUUGUCUCCUAUAUUUUUUUGUCUUGCAGAGGAAGUUCUUAGUAGAGGUCUCUCAAAGCUUGUGAAUGAUAAGAAGAUUCUACAUAUGGCUAGUCCACAAGGUUUUCUCACUCCCUCUCAUAUUUUAUAUGCGGAUGACAUUUUUAUUUUCUGUAGGGCGAAUACUAAGUCUCUUAGAAAUUUGAGAAAUUUUCUUAAAACAUAUGGUGAUUUCUCUAGUCAAUAUGUUAAUAAUUCUAAGAGUAGUUUUUUCACCAUGGAUAAUUCUACAAGAUUUGUCACCAAAAUUCAGCGUAUUCUUUCUUGUAGUCAUGGUUGUUUGCCUUUCACUUAUUUAGGAGUGCCUAUCUUUGUUGGUGCUCCAAGGGGUCGUUUUCUUCAACCUUUGGCUUAUAAAGUCAAAUUGAAGCUAGCUUCUUGGAAUGGUAAAUCUCUUAGCAUGAUGGGUCGAAUUCAGUUGGUCAAUACGGUGAUUACGGGUCUUCUAGCUUAUAGUUUUAAUUUGUAUAAAUGGCCUGUUUCUCUUCUUAAGCAAGUUGAACAGUGGUGUCAAAAUUUUAUCUGGACUGGUGAUAUUCUGAAAAAAGGUAUAGCUACUGUUAAUUGCGAUACGAUUUGUUCUCCCCUUGAGAAUGGAGGUUUGAAAAUUAUUAACCUUCACCAUGAAAAUAAUGCUUAUCUUCUUAAGCUUGCUUGGAACUUUGCUUAUAGCAACAAGCCUUGGUCUCUGCUCUUGAAAGCUAGGGUCCUUAAAUCAAAAUGAGUUUCGAAUGGUUUAUAGAUCGUCAUCUCUUUGGCCUGGAAUUAAGCAGUUUUAUUCUACUAUACUUGAUUAUACUUCUUGGACUGUUNNNNNNNNNNNNNNNNNNNNNNNNNNNNNNNNNNNNNNNNNNNNNNNNNNNNNNNNNNNNNNNNNNNNNNNNNNNNNNNNNNNNNNNNNNNNNNNNNNNNGGUUCUCUUAUUAAUUUUUGGAAGGAUAAAUGGUGUGCUACUUCUUCUUUAGCAAAUAUUGCAGGAUUAUCUGAUGGUGCUAGUAUUCCGGAUACAGUCUCUCAGUUUUGGACAGGUAGUGGUUGGAAUAUUCCAUUGUCUUUACAGCAGAUGCCUCAUCUUUUUAGUCAUAACAUGGUUAGGGCGGUACAGGAUAUUCCUAAUUGGAUUCUAGAUGAGUCUGGUCGUCUCACUCUUAAAUCAGCUAUGACUUUUUUCUUGGAUCCAGGGGUUUCCUGUGGUUGGGGUAAAUUUAUUUGGUCUUCAUAUAUUCCGCCUUCCAAAACUCUUGUCCUUUGGAAAGUUUUUCAUGGGCGGCUUCCUACAGAUCAGCAUAUUCAAAAUAAAGGUUUGCAUAUUUGUUCUAUGUGUACGCUUUGUGAAAAGCACGAGGAAUCUAUUCAACAUUUAUUUUUUGAAUGUGCUAAUGCUUUGCGUAUUUGGAGUUGGGUUCAACACAUUUUUCCUACUUAUCAUUUCUCUAAUAAGGAUGAUCUUCUUUCUUUUAUUAAGAGUGAUGGUAGUCCGUUGGUUAAAUUAAUUAAGCUAGCUGUGAUAACUUUUUCUAUUUGGAUGAUAUGGCGUAUGAGGAAUUAUGCUCGUUUUCAGGAUAAGAUUGAGGUUUCUAGAGUUAUUUUGGUUAUUAAAGACUUAACUUGUCUAGUGGGUAAUUCGUCUAAAGCUUCAAUGAAGAAUGAUAUGUUUGAUUUCAAUGUGCUAAAGUUUUUUGGUAUUAACACUCAUACUGGUAAAGUUCUACGUCCUCUUCCUGUUAGAUGGGAGUUUCCUUCACCAGGCUGGGUAAAAAUUAACACUGAUGUGGCUGCUAGGGGAUAUCCUGGUCUUGCUACUUGCGGAGGUAUUUUUCGUGGGAGUAUGGGGGAAUUUAUUGGAGCUUUUUCUGCGUUUCUUGAAGUUCAGACUGCUCUGGUUGCUGAGUUUUAUGGGGUUAUACAUGCUAUGGAGGAAGCUCAAAAGAUGGGGCUUACUAAUGUCUGGCUGGAAUGUGAUUCUGCUUUGGUUUGUGCUGCGUUUACUGCUAGGACAAAUGUUCCUUGGAUGCUUCGUAAUCGAUGGAAUGUUUGUCUUAAUUACUGUGGGAAAAUUAGGUUUACAGUUACUCAUAUUUUUCGUGAAGGAAAUGCGUGUGCUGAUAAGUUGGCUAAUUUAGGAUUUUUUUCAUAAAGAACCUUUUCUUUGGUAUAAUAGGCUUCCACCUUGUCUGUUCUUAGAAUUCUUUAUGAAUAGGUAUAGUCUAUCUAUAUAUCGUUUUUGUUAACAUAUGAGUUUUGGUCUAGUCCCCCCGUAUUUUUGUAUUUUUUUCUUUUGUUUAAUAAUAUUUUUUUCAUGUGAUGGUAAAUGAUUGUUGUUACUUGAGGUGUCAGCCUAGUUGAGAUCUUAAGUGGCAUAGUGAUACCUAACAUGAAAGCUUUUAUUUAAAAAAACUAUCCCUUCUUAAAGUAAAGUUCAUUUUCUUUUUCAAUUAAAAACUGUGAUAUCGUCAUUUCCGAUUUCGAAAUUUUAUCUCAUCAUAUUUAUCUUAAAAAAAAAUUGUUACAUGUACAUGUUAUCACAAAGCGUCGAUUAUCAAAGUAUUUUCUUUUCCUAUAACAAAAAUAGAGUGAUAAAGUUAAUCGGAAUAGAACUUGAAUAUUAAGAUAUUUUUAUCGCACACAGAUCAUACUUAGGAUUAUGAGUUAUAAGUUUAAGAUUUUAGUUUAAUAUAAUUCUUUCUAUAAAAACUCUCAUCUGAAACAUCACUAUCAAACUUGAAAUUUCAGUUACGUUAACACUUAGAUAAUAACAAUCAUAUGUCUCCAUAUAAAAAAAUAUUAUUAAAAAAAAUAAAAAAAAUAUGUAGAGAUUAAACCAAAACUAAUAUAUUAACAAAAAUGAUACAUAGUUAAUUUAUACAUAUUAAUAAAAAAAAACCUAAAUGGAAGCCUAUUAUACUAAUAAAAAUAUUCUAUGAAUAAAGUCUAAAUUAGCAAACUUAUCAGCACAUGCAUUCUCUUCACGAAAAAUGUGAGAAACCCUAAAUUUGAUUUUCUUAUAGUAAUUAAGACAAAUGUUCCACCUAUUACAAAGCAUCCAAUAAACAAUAAUUCUAAACCCAUCUUUUGAGCUUGUUUAACAAUAUAUAUAACUCCAUAAAACUCCGCAACCAAAGCAGUAUGAACAUCAAGAAAAGUAGAGAAACCGCCAAUAAACUUUCUCAUACUCCACUAAAAAUAUCACCACAAGUAGCAAACUCAGGAGAACCACUGGAGAAGGAAACUUCCAUCUAACAUAACAAGAAGAAGAUAAAACUUUACUACUACAAGUAUUAAUACCAAAAAACUUAAACACAUUAAAAUCAAACAUAUCAUUCCACAUAGAACUUUUAGACCAAUUACCCUAGAGAGGUGAGAUCUUUAAUGACCGAAAUGACCCUAGCUGUUGGGAAUGACAAAGGGUUCUAAGGGUUCCCUCAUCCUAUAGAAUUAUUUAAUUGUUUGAUGGAUCGAGAAGUAUCUCAUGAUAAGACGUAGAUGAUAUGACCAGCCAAAGGAAGACAUUUGCUCAGGCUUUGAGAAAUACAUGUGACAUUCCUUUAUCCCAGCUACCUCCUCUUGUAUUAAGGGAGACAUGAUUGUUGUCUGGAUUGAUGAGGCAGAUUACUUGGCUUGACUGUUCUUGAGGAUUGCAAGACCCAUCUUCAUGAUCGGAUUAUUCUAUCUAAAGGGAUAAACCCCUCACACACCUAAAUUUAACUAAAAAGUUGUAAUGGAUGAUGAAGGCUCUUGGCCCAUGGAAAACAAUUCCUCUUGAUAAAGGUUUCUAUGAGAUUGUUUGGCUGGACAAAAGACUUUAUCCUAGCUACCAUGAAAAGUAUCAAAACAAACAAUCUAAAGAAAUCCGAAGAUAACUUCAAAGAACGCAUCCCGCUCAAACUCAUAGAAAUCCUUCUCAAGGAUAAUUGUUUUUCACAAUCCAGAGCUUUUAACAUUUUUAGUUAAAUUUAAAAAUUUAGGGGUGUGAAUUCCCUUUAGAUAGAAUAAUCUGGUCAUGAUUAUGAAAAUGAAUCUUGUAUCAAGACCAACCAAAUAAAUUGUCUCAUAUGGACAACGAUAAUGUCUCCCUUAAGGAGUAGGUAGCCGGAAUUAAAAAAUGUCACAGAUAUUUUACAAAGUCUAGCAAAUGUCUUUCACCGAUAAUAGCAUCUAGAGUCUUAUCAAGAAAUACUUCUCCAUAAAUCAAACAAUUCCAUGGAUGAGAGAAAACGCUUAGAACCCUUCCUCAUUUCCAACAGCUAACAAGCUACUGCCCAACCAGCCCUGCAGCCACCAAUCACCGCCUCCGCGCGCAACACCACCGCGCUCCGACACAAGCUCGUCGCGCGCAGAUCGCGCACCACCCCACGUCUCGCGCCGCAAUCCACCGCACGGGGUCGCACUCAGAGACGCCGCAGCAGGGCAGCUGUUAGUUCGCAACCUCCGCGACGCCCAACCACAACCGCGAGCGCCGCCGCCCCAAAUCACAGAAACCCUAACGUUGCCGCAUCUCCGCACCGCACAAACCCUAACCUAAUUUUCCCCCCCACAAAUCAUAACUCCCAUUCUCUGUUCAACCACCUACCAAAGUAAUUUAAUUAUAUUUUAUAGCCAAUGAAAUCGUUUUUAAAAGUAAUAUAUUUCAUACGGUCCAUAUCAUAUUUUAUGAUUAGAUAUUAGCAUAACAUUAUAUUCCAAAAUUCAAACCAUAAAAUUAUUUAUUCAGAUUUCAACUGUUAUAUCAUAUUUUCAAUUUAGGUUAACUUACCUGUAGUGGAAGAGUAAUACAUCUUCCUACAUGCCUUUGAAUAAAAAGUCUACUGUUUUAUAAAUAAAAAGGUAAAUAAUUUAAUGUUUUUGAAUUAUAAAAGGAUUCAAUAUCAGUAGAGGAUUUAUAAUUAUUUCAACUAAAAUCACAGUGAGAAUCAAACAGUAGAAGUUUAAUAUGAGAAGUUGAAAGCAGCAGCAAGCUAAAGGAACAACAACACAAGCAUAAGUAACAAAUUACAGUUGAAAGACAAAGUACAAAUUCUUGAGCAAUUCACAGGAUGCUCUGAUUUUAUUCCCUGGAUUUCAGAUAAACGCGUUCAAAUAGUCGUCCACCGUAGUGUAGUUGACCUCAGGAUAAAGUUCAGAACCUUCCACCCCGAAAGAAGCCUCAAUCUCAUAGUUUGUACAAUCUCCCUUAACCAGCAUUGAGUAGCCCAGUGCUAACAUCAAAUUAGCAGGAAAAGGAGACUCUGCAGAGAAAACAAAAUCAUAACAUAAAUCUUGCUAAAGGUUAAUCAAAAUUGUCUUCACAUAACACUGAUUAAAUUAUACACACUAACCCUGGAUGAUCUUAAGAAGUUGAUCUUCUGGAAUGUAGACUUUCUCAAGGGUAUUCUUAAUCUUGUUUUCCCACAAGGAGACCAGCUGGUUGAAGGUCAAAACAUUGGCAGGGGGUCUGAGGUACAGUGUUUUGUUCAAGGUUCUGGGGUCAUCCACUGCUUUUAUGGUGUAAGUCCCAACGUCUUCUUCAGACACAAAAACAGCUGAAACAAUAGUUUCAAACGCACAAACUCAGAUAAUUCUAUUAUCUUUUACUUGUACAAAAAAAACUGUAAUAUAUAAUUUGGAACAUUGUUGUUACCUUCGACGUUUCCAUCUCCUAGAAUGGUAACCUUGUCUCGGGGAGGAGCUGUGACAUUUUGUUGUCCCAGUGUAGGCAAGAAGUAACCAGCAAAGGCAUUUGAACAGAUAUACGUGUAGGGGAUUCCUUCAGCUUCAGUUGCCCUUCGGAUAUUCACUUUUUUUGCAAGAAAGCUAACCACUGGCUCAACUGCAUUGUGUCUGUCCACAUCAAGCCCGAAUUCCGAAGGAAGGAACCUCUGAUGAUAGAAGAAACAAGGAUUAAUUGUUACGAAAGUAGACUUUUGAGCCUAACUCAACUCCAUAAAACUGGUUCAUGAGAUUAAGGUUUGCACUCACUUAUCUUUAUCUUUAGUGUGGGAUCUCUAACAUUAAUAUUAAUAUGUCUUAAUAUGUCUGAUUCAAGGUUUUGUAACACAAGACAUUAUGCGUGUACCUUAAUGUUUCCAGCUUCUUUAAUUGCUGCGAUGAGCUUCACUUGAUCGUCUAUCUGCUGUCCACCCAGUGUAGAUAUUACAACAUCAACUUCCUUCAAAGCCUUAACAAGGCUUUCAUGAUCAUGUAAAUCACCCUGCAAAAAUCACCCACAGGGAUUUCCAUCAAAAUUUGAAACACUACCUAAAUUUGACUUACAUAAAAAGAAAGGCACAUACAUAAAGCAGAGUGACUCCAGAGGCCUUGAAGGUCUCAAUAAGUUUAGACUUUUCAGGAUGAGAAACAGUGUUCUCUCUGAUCAACACAAACGUGGGAUGUUCUGCUUCUGUGCUUGCCUUAACUAUGAAUUUUCCUAUGUAUCCUGUUCCUCCAAGAACCAGGAUUUUGCUCUUCGCUGC